UCCGAUCUGUAUAGUAUGAGGAUGGACGAAGUACCUUCCGGUGCAGUGCGGCUUCGACCUAUCGCACGCCUAUCCAUUUGCGCAGACCAUCACGACCGUUCCACGUGUGUCCCAUGGUGAUAUGAUAUGAGAUCCUGAUGAUGUUGGCCGGAAGAGCUUUUCACUGUGCUGGUACAUGGAAGAUGAAACUUAAAAAGGUCUUGAGAACCGAAUAAAAGUAUCAUUAGAUUCCUAUUUGUACAACCUGGAGAUCACCUACUCAGGCAUUUGGAGACAGAUCCCAGAGAGAAAGGAAAAUAUUGAGCUGGUCUGUUCUAACCUUGGUGUUUAAAGAGCUAAAGGAAAACCAACUGUAGAGGAAGGAGCCUAGAGACCAGAGUUUGACCUCAAAGGACCUCAACUAACAUUCAGAUGGACUCCUGCAUAGCUAUCCAUCAGCUAAUGGUUCCACGGACAAACAUAAUCAGUACAACAAAGCGAAAGGUUUAUUUACAUUUUGUAAUGUUUUAUUGAUUAGAGAAUUUGUAAGAUGAGGUCCCCAAUAAAGAUUUACUGUUUUCAAGAAA
Long non-coding RNA from Cottoperca gobio, 566 nucleotides. RefSeq lists it as uncharacterized. NCBI's taxonomy places the organism in Eukaryota, Metazoa, Chordata, Actinopteri, Perciformes, Bovichtidae. The record is from RefSeq and is a predicted model, not a curated record. The transcript is spliced from 3 exons.